RNAcentral lists this transfer RNA (65 nucleotides) under Dipodomys ordii (Ord's kangaroo rat). It matches the Rfam family "tRNA". From Rfam's summary of the family: Transfer RNA (tRNA) molecules are approximately 80 nucleotides in length. Their secondary structure includes four short double-helical elements and three loops (D, anti-codon, and T loops). Lineage: Eukaryota; Metazoa; Chordata; Mammalia; Rodentia; Heteromyidae. The record is from Rfam by way of RNAcentral.
GGUGGCUCAGUGGUAGAGCACUUGCCUCACACACAUGAGGCCCUGGGUUCAAUUUCUCAGCACCA